Molecule: ribosomal RNA, 106 nt
Filed under: Lupinus angustifolius (narrow-leaved blue lupine)
Lineage: Eukaryota; Viridiplantae; Streptophyta; Magnoliopsida; Fabales; Fabaceae
Source: RNAcentral
GAUCAUACUAGCACUAAUACAGUGGAACCCAUCAGAACUCCGCAGUUCAGCGUGCUCGGGUGAGAGUAGUAUUAGGACGGGUGACCUCCUGGGAAGUCCUCAUGUU